AACGAACGCUGGCGGCAGGCUUAACACAUGCAAGUCGAACGGUUGUAGCAAUACAGCAGUGGCAGACGGGUGAGUAACACGUGGGAACCUUCCUAGGGGUACGGAACAACUCAGGGAAACUUGAGCUAAUACCGUAUACGUCCGUGAGGAGAAAGAUUUAUCGCCCUUAGACGGGCCCGCGUCGGAUUAGGUAGUUGGUGGGGUAACGGCCUACCAAGCCGACGAUCCGUAGCUGAUCUGAGAGGAGAUCAGCCACACUGGGACUGAGACACGGCCCAGACUCCUACGGGAGGCAGCAGUGGGGAAUCUUGGACAAUGGGCGCAAGCCUGAUCCAGCCAUGCCGCGUGAGCGAAGAAGGCCUU
RNAcentral lists this ribosomal RNA (363 nucleotides) under uncultured bacterium. RNAcentral's name for it is "bacterial SSU rRNA". It matches the Rfam family "Bacterial small subunit ribosomal RNA", at positions 29 to 418 of the family's 1533-position model. The record is from RNAcentral.